UGUAAUCUAUAUAAAGGGAGGUUCGAAAGGAAGUAAUUUAUCAUAUAAACAACUUUGUUUUCGAAGUUUAUUCAACACUUUUUUAAAAACAAUGGCAUCUUUGAAGUUUUUCAUCUGCAUAUUCUUUUUAUUUAUAGCUGACAUCUAUGUCGAAGGAGCUGUUGAUCGAUUGUCAACUACCGUCGACAUUAAUAUCAAUGCGUUUCCUUGCUCUGCGGUUUCACUGUGCUCAAAUGGAUGUUGCUUGUGCUUCGAGUCCUCAUGCCUGAAAUGUUGUGCCGCGAAAGAGAUUAUUACAAACUCCUUUGGGAUUGAUGCGACCAAACCUUAAUGAUGGAUGGUUCAGCAGGGCAUGGCAAUAUUGAUCUACAACCAUGUUUGUUCUUAAACUUUAUAUGUUUAUUUUGAUGGGAAAAUGCUUCAUGUACCUGCAUUAAUUUAUUCUAUUGGAAGAAUAAAAAUAUAAUAAAAUAAUUAUUGAUGGA
Molecule: long non-coding RNA, 485 nt
Organism: Malania oleifera
Lineage: Eukaryota; Viridiplantae; Streptophyta; Magnoliopsida; Santalales; Ximeniaceae
Exons: 2
Source: RefSeq, a predicted model, not a curated record